Molecule: long non-coding RNA, 34920 nt
Filed under: Xyrichtys novacula (pearly razorfish)
Lineage: Eukaryota; Metazoa; Chordata; Actinopteri; Labriformes; Labridae
Source: RNAcentral
GGAAGCAGCUGUCCUGACGGAUCGUUCAAAAUGCUACAAACCCCUUGAGUCUCAGCUGUCCCUGCAAUACAGAGGAUACAAGGUAAAAUCACUCAUCUGAGCUGUUGUAUUUUCUACUGCUUUGGAAAUUUCCACAAAAAAAGUAAACUAGAAGAGUCUUCAAACUUUUAUAACAGCUUUAGUUUAGUAUGCCUGUGGGGCUCAUGUCUGUGCGAAACAACAGACUGACGAACAGAGUUAUGCUCAGAACUUAAAGGUCUGUCUCCCCUUCACUUCUUGCACUCGCUCAUUGUUGUUUUAACAAAGAUCUAUUCUGUUUAAACAAUACAAGCGCUCAUAAUGAACUGCACCUGUCUGCCUUAUCUGUCCUCCUUUUCUUCAGAGAGUUCUCCAAGUUAAAGAGAAAAGUGAAAGUGUGAGAAGGGGAAAUAUAAAGUAGCUUCAACUUGAGGUUUCCGCACGCUGAAGGCCGCACUGACCUUGAGAUGAGGCGUGGUUUUCAAAUGUUUGUAUCGUUGUUGAUUCAUAAGAAACUGAACAAUCUGUGUGACAAUUUUCCAUCUUCAAAACAUGUUUUUUUUUUUUUUUGUGACUUUUGAACAUGACCUUCAGUUUGUUCUGAGUAGUGCAACAAAUUUUCUCUGACCUCUUCAGCGUUUAAUACUCUUAAUACAGAGUAAAGUAUUAAACUAAGAGGUAACAUGGCCCCUCAAGUCAGAAAAGUGGUGUGGACUGACAGAUUGAGUAUGGCUUUCUGUGAGUCCUAAACUAGAAAAAUUGGCCACUAGGUUCUGCUUAAUGUGCUCGUACAGACUUUUAAGGACAGUUUGAAGAGUUUUGUCCAAAACUUGGAGAAAGAAGAAAAUAUGAUGUAGUAUCAGGGCCAUCUAGAAUAAAAAAUAGAUUUAACUCAAUAUUUAAUGGGUGUAGAGUUGUAAAUACCUGAAUACCAAAGUCUUUUAGGAAAACAGGACCAUGUUGUUGUGCUUUAAGGACUCUGAAUCCACAGCCACCGUUUGCUCUUGGAUCCAUUUCCUCAGUUAAGUGCUAGCAGCUGUCCGCCCCUCUUAUAUCACCCCGCUUAGUUCACGUAUUGAUAAACAAUUUUAUGUCUUUUGACUUUUCUCAUGAGUCAGAUUAAAACUUCAUUCUCCCAAAUGUUCACCUUUAAACACAUCCAGUCAUGACUAAAACAUUUUCUGAGUUUGUUCAAGUAAAUUUAUGAACAUUUUCCAAUAAAUCUAAGUGUUUUUGUAAAAUUACAAAUUUUUCUUCAAUAACUUAUUCUUGUAAAACUUAAUUGUAAUGUUAUGACUUUAUUUUGUACACUCAGGGAUUAUUUUUGUAGCUUUGUUGGUUAAUCCUGUUGUAUUUAUGACUUUGAUCAUGAAUUUACGACUUUGUUAUCACAGAAUUAUGGCUAAAUCCUUUUAAAUUUAUGUGAUUUUAUUCAUGCAUUCAAGACCUAUUCUCCAACAACUCAAUUUUCAUAAAAAUCUGUAUUUUUGAGAUUAUGACUUCAUUCUGGUAAUUUUCUUUUCUGGUAAAUUUACAAGUUCGUCUCUCAGGACUUCAUGAUUUCUCUUCUCAGAAUUUUAUGACUUAAUUUUCAUAAAUUCACCAACUAUUUUCAUAAUGUUUUUCAAUUUUCCCUCAAAAGUUAUAUUUUGUAAAAUUACAGCCUUAUUCUCAUCAUAUCAGAGUUUUUUGCUCCUAAAUUUUGACUACAUUUUUUGUAAAUUUGUGACUUUAUUGUCAAUCCAUGAAUGUUAAUUUAUGAUUUUCUUCUUUUAUUCAUUUAUCCCUUCUAAGUAACUCCUCAGUCCUCUACUGUUUGGAGUUUAUUCUCAUGAUAUUAAGACUUUAUUGUAGAAAUCUAAUUUUGUCAUCCUUGAUGUGGCUCUAAUCCUCACUUGUAGGAUAUUAGGAGUACAUGAGAAGAAUAAAGCCGGUUGCAUUUGCAUAUUAAUCACAUAAAGGUUGAACACCUGGGUACUUUCAAGUUAAUUUGGUUUUAGAUUUGUGGUCACAAGCGUUUUAAAAUAAAUGCUGAUUUAAAGAGAAAUUCCUGCUGUAGUGUGGCCCAUCAAAGUGUGACCACAGGUGAAGAUAUGGAGCUGCUGCACCUUUUACAGCAUUGUAAUGAGCUGCAGCCAUUGUGUCUCUGAAUGUAUAAUUAUUAUGUGUGAAUAAUGAGACUGAACUGUGUGGAUACUUCCCACUGUGGGUCCCUGUGCAGCCGAGCUUUCACAUCUGGCCAGAGCUUUGAAGUAGCAGGUGUGCCAUCAACAUGCACCACACACACACACACACACACACACAGAAAAAAAACAACCAGACACUGCCACCAUAUUUUUGAAUAAGAGCAAGACGCAGCUCUUUGUUGUAAGUACAAAGAAUAUACACAUUGUCGUUUUGGUGUUCGGGGACUGUUUUUGAUACAGAAUAAUCAGAUUCACUCAUCUUAGGUUACCAAGGCUUUAGAGCACAAAAGAAAAAAACAGGUUUAAACCCACACGGUUGUCAAGCACUAGUCAUCGGGGAUGAGCGUCAACUUGACUGGAGUCUCUCUACUCUUGUGUGGAAGACCUGAUCUGACACAGCUCCCCCUCCCAGUAGCGAAGUAGGAUUGUAUUUCACAUGAAAAAGAUGAGAUUCACACACAUGCACAAACACCCACACACAUGCAAAAAUGUCUUGAAUUGAUGUUCAGGUGAGGCAAAUUCACAGUAGAAUUACAGAAAAGUCAUUCAGAUGUCACCGCUCAACACAGGUUCACGUAUAUCAACGUACUUGAGUUACUUUUGGGGUUGCAAAGAGCCUGAAAGUUUGACGAAACAACUCUGCCAACCAGAAAUAUUUUGUUCUUUCUCAGGGACGGCCUAAUGUAAUUCCCGAUGAGUCUGAAAGCGGAUAUUUACGAUUUUUCUGACAGCACGUGUUGGGUUUCAAUCCCCUGUUUUUCUUGCUUAGAAAGGAAACAGGAAAGAAAAAUAACACUGGAGAAAAAUAUCUUAAUGUACCAUUUACAUCCACCAUAAGAUUGACUUUUAUAGGCUGUGUUUGUAUGAUCUCACUUUUGUUUGAAGGAACUAGAGUUAGUAUGUUUCCCUGCACACUUAAAUCAAGGUAUAAUUAAUGCUUAAUAUGGCAAUUCACCUGGACUUCUUAGCAAACUAAUUUGACAUUGUUUACCCUCAGACUCUGUGAUUAAGCUCAUUUCUGACUGUAUCCUGGAGAUAAAAUUUAUGCCGUAAUGCAGCACGUAAAAGCUGUAUUAGAAUAACUUUCUGUAGUCAAACAGAUGUAAAGGCAACGUGAUGUUUCCAGUGGUUUUAUUGGUUCCCAUAGGGUGACCAUGCAUCCUCUUUUACCCUUUUGUCCUGUUUUUGGGGGGCUGUCCGGCCUUGUCCAGCCUUGUCCGGGGAAGUUUAUAAAAUCCUUCAAAUGUCCACAGUUUUGUAUGAAAGUUUCGAGUUUGUGUCACAUGGACUUACUGAGUUAGAAGCGCGUAAAAGACACUCGAUCUGACCCAAAAACUCUCAAAUUUAACUUUGUGCGACUUCGUGAUUCCACCCCAGCGUAGUCGUGUCCUCUUUUUGGGAAGUCAGAAUAUGGUCACCCUAGUUCCCACAAAUACGCCAUAUUGGCUCUUGAUGUUAGCUUGUGGCUUUUGACGCCAAAACCCUGAAUUUAGUGGGCCCUGAGGCUAAAGUGGAUCCGAAUAUUUGGUGUCUAUGUUCCUGUUGACAGAAAUAAUAUUCCCAUUCUGAUACCACGAUUAUACAAAGUCUUCGUCGUCCAUAACUUCUCAAGAUGACUCCAUUGCUUCAUGAGUUUUGUUUGAAAGCAGUGUAAGAUCCGCCUUUAAGUCAUGUGACAAACAAUGACUUGAAUUGGCAGUUAUAUAAGGUUAUGAGUUCGGCUGGAUCCCAAAAACACACACGGAGAAAACACCCAGAAACCGCUAUACUGGUUUAAAAAUAACCACAGUUAAAUGAGUUUUCUGGUUUGUGUGUGUGUGAGUGUGUGUGUGAGGGCAGGAUGAGGCUGCAGCGACAGAGUAAUUAAAAGAAACAAGUCUUUGAUCUUAAUGAGGUUUCUGUACUCUCCUCAGUGAGAAAGGGGGUGUCUAUGUAUGUGGGAGAGUGUACUUUCUUAAAAAAAAUGAACGCCCCCCCAAAAUAAACUCUAUCUGAAAUCAAAAGUAAACUCCAAUUCUAUACCAAACAGUGGGGGGGAGUUUUAUCUCCGCCCGCUCUGGUGGCUUUCUGCUUUUUGGUCACACUGCAUGUCUAUUCUUUGAAAUAACAGAUUUAGGUCAGUGAGGAGAAAAAGCCAUUUCCUCCAUCAGUUUUUCCUCUCAACUUUCUGACUAAUUGACUAGAAGAUCAUUUGAAUUCUGAACGGUGGCAGCAGGAGUCCACUCCAUUCAGUGGUGAGAUUGAUGUAUCUAAACAACACCAACAAACAUGGCCCGCAAUCACUCCAGAGGGGGUACUCCACUGAGAACAUCAUUACCGACUCUGUGUUGUCUGCUAAAUCAAAGUAGCUCCCCCGGCUUUGAUAAAAGAGACGGGUGCCGACCGGGGUGGCAGUUUGCUGCCGGGUUAGCCUGAUCAGAAUUCACAACAUAGAAACCAGAGGUGGCCAUGUUAUCUUGCCCGGCUGAAAUUAAUGUAAACAAACCGAGACGUAGAAUUAAACAUAAGGAAAGGUUUGAUAUGGUCUUCUUGGAUGUUACAGAUCUGCUGGUUUGGAGCAAGAUGACAAACAAAGCCAUAUCAAACAGAAUAUAAUACAGCUGAAAAUAAACUGCACGAUAUUAUCAGACGGAAUAAAAUAUAAGUGUAGUGUAACCCAGUAGUUCAGCAUUAUUUAUUAAUAAGGAGAAAAAGUUAGUUACAACGAGCUAAUCAAUAAUCAAUGUCACACAUACAGUAGGGGGGCAAAACCACUGGCUUUGUCCAAAUGAAGGACCUAGCCUACAUGACGUCAAACCUAUUUAUGGACCUCAUUUUUGGUAUUACUGCUGUGGUCUAGCAAAGGUUGACUGAGUUUUGAUUCACUUCGAUUUUAUCUGCUCUACAGAUGUUUGUGGUUGUUGCUUAGCAAUCCCAACCCCUUUAAUAUAGCCUGAUAAACUAGCAGUUUAACUCUAAAUGGGACCAUAAUUCAUAAAACUGAUGAAAUGCUGUUCUUAUUUGAGUUGUUAAAACUAACCUACUAUACAAAUGUCACCAAAGUAACAGGAAUUGGACAAAGUAAUCUCUAAAAUGGUCAAAUAGUGUAUGGCACCAUUUAAUAGAAGCAAGGGGGGCAUCUUUAUGGGUCUAAUCUGGAAGUACCAAACACUGCAGUUCCUCAAGUGGCCACUGGAGGCUGAGUCAGAAAGUGAGUCAAGCCCAUUUAGCCUCAUAUUUAAAUGACAAACUUUGCAGCAGAAUAUAUAAAGUUGAGGAUUAUCACAGGAAUGUUUGCUGCACAAUCACCUCAGCAAUUUUAAUCACAUAUUCUAACCUCUCUGCUGUGUUUGUGUCUCCAUGCAAUUACCUAAUAAGAUAGAAGUGCUUGUUUACUUUGUCUGGAAAAAUGUGCUUUUAUACUUGAAAAUGGUGAAGGAAAAAAUCAACAAACUAUUUUGGGCUGAAAAAUGAAGUCAGUUCCUCAAAUGGCCACUUGGGGCUUAUAUGAGGUCCCUUUGACUUGAAAAACUUUGCCAAACCUUUUUGAGUAAAAACAUAAAAACUUGAACACAUGCUUAGAUAAUAGAGAGAGAAAUUUUAAGGUGCAAAAAACACAAUCACAAAGGUUUGUUGUACUAAUUGGCUGUUGAAGAGAUCGCAGAGUGAGUUACUGUGGUUUUAGCAAAUCUAGACUUGAGGUUUUAUUUACUCUUUUAAAGCAAUUAACUUUUGAUCUUUGCUUUUGUCCUAAUUAGUUGCGACCUGAUGUUAAACAAAAGAAAAACAAACCAAAAAAGUAAGGUCAUGACACGCUGCAGUCACUAAACACCUGAACAGCUUUACAUUUAAGGGGACUGAUGUGCACAGAGGCAGUUUAAUAUUCAGAGGAGUACUCAGACACACAUAAGCUAUCUCUCACAAACUUGUUAAACACACAGAACACACCGAAACCCUCCCUGGGAUUCAGACAUGCCACUGUGUAAAUGAACAAAUGUUGCUACCUCUCUGAAAUCAUGACCUUUAAUAAGCGCAGUCUGUUUUCUGUUUGCCGGACACAUGGGAUAGGUGUCUUAAUCAAACUGGAGCAUUUGGUCCUGGCUGCUUUUGACAGCUUCAGACAGUUUCUCAUUACUGAGCUGGCAUUUAGCAUUUAGUCAUUUUAACAUUCAGUUCCACUCCUGUCUGCUGAGUCAGAGCACAGCCUGUACUCCUCUACCCCAAAACACUAAACAAACUCCACAAUGGGGCAUUAACAAGGUUUGAAAACACUUAAUGAAGAAUAAAAUCAAACAAAAGGACUGAUUAGGAGUGUUUCAGAGAAGUACACAUUGGUCAAAAGAGAGUGAUGAAGCUUUUUCUGGUGAUUUGUUCAUCUUUUGGUUCAUUUGUAUAGUUUAUUUACUCUUGGUGGCUUGUGGCUGUGAGUUUAGUAUUCGUAUGUGUACACAUAUAUUUUGUUUCUGUUACUGCGGGGAAAAAAUAUUAUUACAUUCCCCCCUAACUCUGCAAUCCCAAUGCAAACAUCAUCAACAAGUCAGACUAUUCAGCUGUUCGGUUCUUUCAGAGCAGAGAAAACAAACCCGGCCAAACAAAAAGUUGGCCACAGUUUAAGUUCUGUAAAUUUCUGGGGCCGUCCGAUGCAAAUCACCUCCUAACACGUCUUUGUGCCCCCAUCAUUGUAAUUCUGUUUCAUGAACAAUAGCUGGUGCAAAACGGAUGAGAAGCUGAUUACAACCAUUCAGCGCUCCCCAGAUCUCCACCUCUUUGAUUUGAAAGGCUAUAGCUGCAACAAUCAUCGAGGUCAACGUUAAAGAACGGCGCAUGUAUGAUUAAAUUUUUUCUGUUCAUUUCUCGCUUUGUCCUCCAGCUUAGCAUCAUGUUCCAGCGCUCAAAACAUCUCAUAGUUUGAGGUCUUUCUGUCCCCAAAGUUGUUUUAUUCUAAAAGAGACAGGAACAAGAGGUCUCUAUUCAUUUAAUUGUGGAAAUACUUAAUUUUAAUACAGUCAAUUUGUUUGUGUAUCUGAGAGCUAUGUGGUGACUCUGUAAGGUCAGUUUACACAACACAGCCGACAAAGAAUUAGUCUACUAAUGACAGGUAUUGGUAUAAUUAAGGGCAUAAAAACCUACCAGACACCCAAACUAUACCAAACAACAGCUUAACACUCAGAAUUUAAAAUUUUGGAAUGCAUGAUGAUUAUGAGUGAAUAAAAUACUGGAUAUACAUCACAAAGUCAUCUGCAAAGAGUGUCAAAGCUUUCAUAAUGUCAAAUAAUGGCUUUUAAAGGCUCACUUUAAGCAUUUUAGACAUAGGCAUCUUGUAAUUUGGCACCCAAAGUUUUAAUGUUCAGGCAGUGGAGUAGAGAAGAAGUGGCUCCGACAUAAAUACCAGAUCAUUAAAUUAAUAAUGCAUCAUGCAGUGUAUCACUAAACCCCCAAUUGGAACAAAAAUCUUUAAAUAAAUAUUUAGAAAAAGUAUAAUUUUUUUCAUAGACAGCGAAGUUGCCCCCUGCUGGGAAUGAAAAGGAAUGCAGGUUUAAGACACUUGGCUUUACUUUUUAGACUAACUGGGGGGUCAUGUAAACUUUUUUUCACGCUCCCAUCCAAUUAAAAACACCUUUUUUCCUUUCUUGUGCAUAGCUAUACUUCAGUUAUCUUACAGCCUAGCAACACUUAAAUGUGGUAGCAAAAAGGCCUAAAAGGCGUGCACACAAAACCACUCCCAUGUCUGUCCUUCAGGAGAUGCAAUUUCUUCCUUUGCUAUUCAGCCAACCACAUCAGAUUACUUAUUAAAGGUAGAGAAGUAAGCGAAAAACAUGCCAUAUCACUUGAAAAAAUGCUGUUUUGACCAUGACUUCAAGAAUAACCACCUCCAGUUUAUGUCAAAAUUCUGGAUCAUAUGUUUAGUGCACUGGUGCUGGUUCUUCUGGGGCAUUCGCCAUGUUUGAUAUGGUGUUUUUCUGCCUCUGCAUCUGUCAGCACAAGUCUGCACCCGUCUCUCUUAGGAAACAAACAGGCAACCUAUCAGCUUCAUAUGAAUUUGCAUUAAUAAGUUAAUUAACAGAAGCAUUCAGUACUUCUGUGAAAAUAGGAAACUGCAUUAAAGUGUGAGGAAUACAGAAUAUACAGAGUUCUGAGAUUUUUCAUUUCCUGGUUAAAUUGGGUUGAAUAAGUUUAAAUGAAAUGAAAUCAAGCAGAAGUUCAGAGCAUCAAGUCAGUGUUUCUUUUUUUUUCUGUAAAAGCAGAAUAUUAUAAAAGUGUUGUUUCCAAACUCAAGAAGAACAUUAAAUCCAACUUCUCUUUUUCUAAUACUUCUCAAAAGUAUCACUCAGUGGUCUCCAAACAUGUAUCGCUGAGAUGGAUUUUCCUCCCUGCUCCUCUCUGCAGCAGCUAAUUCCUCCUCUGGCUGACCAGCUGGGAUGAAACCCUUCACAGAAAUAACCUGUCCGACUCACUGCUCUGAUCUGUCUCUGCUUCUUAACCUCAUGGUGACUCGCUGAGGGAACACAUAUCUCUUGUUGCCCUGUUGUUGGUAACCCCUGCCUUCUUCAGGUGCAAUAAUUUGGAAAAUCCCACAGCUCUGAGGCUGUCUACUUGCUAGGUAAUGGGACUUUAAAAUGACUACCACAUGCUACCUGUGCAACAUGCCCCACUGCUCCACAACACAGUAUCAGGAGAUUAUCCCCCGGCGUACAGUGAAUCCUUAUCUUAAGGUUUCAGUUGGGAUUAUUUCGCUUGGUGUUUUGGAGGCUCCAGUAGGAGAGAAGACCUGGUGAUGCAAUGAAACACAACCCCCCAUAAUUGGCUACAACCCCCAAGGCAGAUAUUUUAAGAGCUUUUAUGAUUUGCAGUAUAAUCACUGUGAAGAAAACCAGCUUUUGGUUGUAGAAUUAAGAAAUCUGUGAAUAUUUGUCCCUAUCUUUGUCAUUUUUUUAAAGUUACAAAUCACAAAACAGUUCAGAUAAUUACUAUCCUGCACUGCUGCUUAAACUUAAUUUCUUAAUAACUGAAUGAGCACAGAAUGAGCACUGAAUGAGAAUGGUCUGGUUAGCUCAUACCUAUACUUAGGGCUAGACGAUAUGGGAAAAGGUUUAUCAUGAUAUAUUUUUUUCAUAUCGGUGGAUAUCGAUUUGUAUCACGUUAUAAAAAAUCACUCAAUCUUAAAUGUUUCCUGUUACUAUUAAAUGAAAUAAAGUUAUAUCUCAGUUUUGAAGAAAUAGAGUCUCAGAUUUAGGACCAUAGUUAGGACCACAACUGAGCAGACUGAAGGGCGAGCAGACUGUAUCUUUUAGCAAGGAUGUUUAAGGCGUUAACUCCACCUCUUUCUCUGUUGUUGGGUUGGUCCUCCAUUUUUGACACCCUCUGAACUUUGUGCUUUCUGUUUGCUUUUGUGGCCAUACCUGCAUUUGUUGCAUCCUUUUUCAUUCAGGUCACUCCCUGAUUGGCUAUUUUCCUGGUCCUCAUGACAGUCCACAAAGUGAUCGCUCGGCUGCUCUUGGGGUUCCUCCCACUCAACAGCAAAUCAGACUGUAACUGUUGUUAUUAAUAAAUGUGAUAUUUACAAUUUCAAGCCAGGGUGACUCUGAUCACUGUCUUAGCAGAUUUGAUGAAGUAAAAUUACAGGAAAAUCUGAGGAGAAUCUCUCAAGAUUAACUUAAGUACUGAGAAAAUAGGACUUGGUUGACUUUUGUUAUGAGGGAGAGAAAGGGCCCCAAAUCAGAUUAUUCUCCUCAAACCACUUGAGGGAGUAAUUAGAGAAGUUUUAUAUAUUUCAUCACAACGUGUCGUUUCAUCAUUUUUUAUUUUGAUGUAUUUUACAACCAACGACAUAAAUUUUCAUCUCAAUUUGUUUCCCUGCAGUCAAGCCAAUUUUCCUAUUUUUCUCAGUGAGAUUCUUUUCCUUUGUGGCAAUUUUGGAGCCGGUGCAUCAAUAAGUUUUCACUGUGAUGAGUAAAAGCUGUGUUGUUGUAGUGAAUGUAUCUAAAGAUUUGAGGGAGAAUGAAUUAGACUUUAUUUUGACUCAGAAAAAUGGAUGUGAUUUGUUUCGACCUUGUAGCUGCAGUCUCUAAAGUUGUUGUCAGAACUCAUUUCACACAUUAAUUCAAAUGCAUAUUUAUGCUCUGAUGUUUGCCCUUUCUGAGGAUUUCUGCAUCAUAUUUCCAUUCAUUAUACAUUCAUUGGUCGUUGAAAUAAAUACAUAUGGUGUGAUUAGUCAGAAAGUCUGCAAAGGUUAUUCUUGUAGUCAGAAAAUUCUGCUGGUUAAAUAUAAAAACGGGAAUAUAGACACCUACUGGAUCACGUUUGGGGAGAAAGAAAAACCUGUCGCUUCAUUUCUUUUGUAGCUGAGCGCAUGACUCAGAAAACUGGCACAGCAUAACCAGAACGAGCCAAGAAAUUCUCCACCAUGGCAGCACAUCAGCUUCCACAGGUGACACAGAGACUUCCUGUUAAUUUCCACAGCAGGAAUAGUUAAAUGCCAUCCAAACACGCACUAAAUCAAGCCUGGUAGAAGCGCUUCAAUCCAAUAUACAUAAUCUGUGCAGGAGAAUUAGUGUAUUUACCGACGUCUGUGUGCACAUGUGCAUUCUUGUGUGUAUUUCUCUGGUGCUGCACAGAGGGAUGCUUGACUCCCAAUAGAUGUCAUUAUUUUCCACUUGCAAGCUCUCAUCCCAGCAUGACUGCAGAGGUAUUUUUAUUAUUCCGUCUGUGUUAUUUUCUGCGUGCAUGUGUGGAUGAGUGUGCAGCGCUGUGAAAGAGGGAAGGAAGGAGGUGUGCACGUUUUUUUUGCGUGUGUUCAUGUGUGGGCGCGCGCCUCACAAAGUGAUUGAAUCUUUCAAAAAAGUUCCCGGCGCCUUCUUGUGCUUUCUGGUUUGCUGAAAAAUAUGAGAAUUUCUCAUUUCCUACUUAAAUUUCUGCCACAAAGACGCUUUGGUGCAUCAAAUGUCAGAGUGUCAAGGGAAUCAGUUGAAGUCACUGGCACAAAUACAAUCUUUCAUCUGGUUCAGGAGCUGGCUUUUGAAUUAACUCUGUGCAGGGUGACUGUCUAUCAGGCGGGCAGAGGAGAGUUGGAGGGGAUACAACCGAGAGGGGAGAGAUGAUGGGAUUAAUUUUAUCUGCAAAAGUGUCUAGAAGGUGUUAAAAUGGGCUUUUGUGAGCGCCGCACCUGGAAAAAAAAAGCAGCCGAGCGUGUGCUGUGUUUCUGUCAGAGUCUGAUCAGCACCAUGGACAGCUCCCUGCUCACUGCACCAUGACUCCAGUCCUCAUCCUUCAUUUUCAUCUCAUUUCUGAACAAUUAGUACGGGGAAGUAAAUCAAAGAGGAGCUGAAUGAAUCUGAAGCCAACUGUUCCCACGUUGAAUCAAGGCUGCAGCAGGAUAUGAUGUGUACUAAACAGGACGAGGCCUCUCAGGUGGUUACUAGAUCUAAUGUGAGAACUUUCGGUAACACUUUACUUGACGCAUAUCUCUAUAACGUAUCAUAAAUAUAUGUAUAAUGUGUAUAAUGGGGGGGCGAUCAGACGAUUUUUUUAUGAAGUAUAUAUAUAAAUACUGUAGAUGUAGGCUACUGCUUAUUGUAUAUUUCACAAACUGGUUUAUUUACCGUUGAGGUGGACCAUUCUCCUCCGUGCGUCCCUGAGCUGCCUGCUUCAGAUCCGUCACUCUGCUGUGCUGUGAGGUAGUUAGUGGAUGAAGACUGUCAUGAAGUUGCUGCACCAUCUACAGGAUAAGAACCUUUCAAAUGGCGAAUAUUUUCGAGGUGAAACUGAAUCUUAUUCUCUGGAGUAUAUUUCUGAAAAUAUCGGCAAAAAUGGGCGAGUUUUGGCCGAUCACAGAUUAGUCUCAAACGGGCUAAAAUUGACCGAAAAUUUAAUCGGCUCGCCGAUAAAUCGGUCGAGCCCUAAUCGUAACACAUUUUAAAGCAUUAUAUCAUGAUUCACAAGGUCAGGUAUUAUAAUGUGUUAUUUUGUUGUAAUAAAGCCUUAUGACAAUUAAUGAGUGUUUAUAACGAUAGUUAUACAAGUUUAUAAGCAAAUUAUAACACAUCACUAAAUUAGGUAUAAUGCAUGGAUGGAUGGAUGGAUGGAUGGAUGGAUGGAUGGAUGGAUGGAUAGAUAGAUAGAUAGAUAGAUAGUGGUCAUAUAACAUAUGCAAUCAUAUAACACAUCAAUAAUUCAGUUAUAAAAUAGGAAGAAUAUUGCAGUGGUUUUGCAUUUCUGUGUGUUACAUUUCCUAAGAGCAGUCUAUCGCCCGAGGGAGAAAACUGUGUCUUAGCCUGUUUGUACAUACUCGCAUGAUCCUCAGUCAGCCUGGGGGGAAGAGUAAAGUGAUUGUCCAGGGUGAGUCGGGUCUCUGAGGAUCCUUUUUGUGCAUCUCGGCAGGGAGUAGAAGUCCUCUAGCUUAAGAAGAGGAGAUCUGAUUAUCCAUUGUGCUGUUUUGAUUACAUGCUGCAGAUUCUAACAGUCUGUAGCACUGCAGCUGGAAAACUUCACUGUAUGUACAGUACGUCAAGGUGGUCUCUGUGGAGCAGUGGUAAAAGUUCAUCGACUGCUGUUUGGGCAGUUUGCAGAGAUUUACACAGCCUGAUUAAAAAUACGUUUGACUCAGGAAUCGAUUCUUUCUCCUUAUAACACGCCUGUUUGUAAAAUAUCAAGUUUCAUAGCUAUGUGGAUUUGAGGCGUGGCUAUGCAUGUGGAUGGACAGGUGCAAUGUAACUGUUUUCUAUGAGACUAUUGGCUUCAAAACUCCUCUUCAGAGAACUUGCAAAAACUCUAUUGUUUAUGUUAAUUCCAAUAAAUUCUAGUUUGACAACAGGAUGAGGCAUAAUGUUAAAUGAAUAAAGGAAACAAGUAGAAAUAGCCUACAGAUGAAUUUCUCAGUGAUGCCUGCUACACCAAUACAUCAAUAGACCGAUAAGCUCAGCUAAUUUGGUGAUAAACACAUUUCAUAUUUCAUUGACUCCUUAAAAUAAAAGUCCCUUAUUCUUCUGUCGUUGGAGUUAGGGCUGGGUACAGCUCCGUUUUUAAAAGUUAUUUGGGGGUUCAUGUUUUCUAUGAUUGACACCUGAUACAGCCUAUUGGCGUUCAGGGAUUGCGUAGCUCUCCCGGGGGAUACGCUGUUUGAGCCGAGCGUCAUCACAGCGACUCUCCUGCCAAAUGCACACAAUGAUACUGUGCAAUGCUGGUUUCAGGAAAUGGAGAGCUUUUUGGCUUCAAAUCUGUAUACAGGCGGGAGGUGAAACCAAGUUGUCCAUAGUAUAUACGGUCCAUGGUUCUAAAUUAGCCUGCUGGUUUUCUGAUAGAGCAAAGUUCAUCAUAGACAUAGAGAUAAGUAUUAAAAGGAUUCAAACAGUUACUAACAACUAACUUUAUUGAGUUAACAAUGACCUCCUCAUUGAGAUUACCUAUUCGUGCUAAAAUUAGAUAGUUUACUCUUUCUGCAAGGAAAAAAAAAGACUCUUUUAUUGAUUCCAGACAAACCGGCAGAAGCUUUCAUCUGUGAAUUCUGGCUUUGUUUCACACACUCUGCACUCUUACAUCACCGAGGAAAAAAAGAAAAUAGGGAUAUGAAAAGCCCCCAAAUCUCCUAAAUUGGCAUCAGCAGCUCUGACAGGAUUUAAAAUGACCAGGAUUGUCACCAGCAAUAAUCAUGCCAGAGGAGCCAGUGUGGAUAACCUUUUCAGGCGACUGGUUUGCUCCAGAGGAGCUGGACUGAGGCCUGGUCCUUGCUAUGAAUCUCCCAUGGCUUAAAGGUCAUGAGGGCUCAUGACAUACUGAAGCCUAAAUAUUGCAAUCAGUGUCACAGGGUCCCUUAGCACCUCAUUAUCUCCUCCAAAUUCUUUAAAAGCUAUUCAAAGUCAAAUUGAUGUGUAUAAUGUGUUAAUUUAUCUGUGUUGUAAUAUUUUAAAGCUCUAAUGAGGCUAACCAAAUGGGGCCACAGAUGGCCUGACAACAGUUUUACACAGCGGAGAAGCUGUAUCACAGACAUCUGAGGUCAUGGAAAUAGCUAAUGCUGAAAUUCCCAAUAACUUUAUUGACCAAAGAGACCUUUCCACUGGCAAACUGUACAUAGACACAGGUCUCUAAAGUCUUGGUCAGACAUCACAGAAGUAAACUUUUCUCAUCAUCUUGCCUCCAGCCUUCGUCCUCCGGUGUUGCUCCUCUUUCCCGUCCUCCAGCUCGCCUUUGGUUUGUUGUAGGUCAGAUAUUUUAGGCGCACUGCUCCAAUAAUCAAUAAUCAGUUCUGCUUUUUCUUUGUCCUUCUGGUCCCCAGUUGUUCUUUAUCCUCCUCUUUCAGAAGUCACUCUGCUGUAUUUUUCAGAUCUAUGUCUGCUGCACGGCUGUUUUCUCUUUUUAUUGGGCUAAUAAGCUGUUUUACAAGCGAAAUCAUCAAUGUCCAUUUUCUGUAUGUGCAAAAAUCAUUCCCACCCUCUCCCUCACUAAUGAUAAAAAAUGAAAUGUCUACUUUCCGGAUAAAGCUAAAUAAAACUAAAAUCUAUUUCUAUGUUCGGCUGCUAUUUACUGCGUCCAGAGUGUUUAUAUUGGGGCAGAAGAUGAGCUUGUUCAAUAAAAACACAUCCAUGAGUCUAUAACUUCUUUUAAUGGUCUAACACUUCACCUUUUGCAGGAUUUCACUGGGCUGCAAUUUGUAGUUGCACUCAGUUUCACAUCAGUUUUUAUAUCAGGAGCAGCAAAAAGGAGCAAUAAACCCCCGUAAAUGAGUCAGCAAAAUGGGCUUUUUGUUUUAAGUCUUGACAAAUGGUGGUUAACUCGAGCUGAAGGGAUUUUCAGGUUUUGUUCUACCAGAUAAAACAUGUCAGCAAACAUCCCUCCUGUGAAAUGGAAGCUUUUCCCCGUCUGGAGAAAAAAAAGACAAUUGUUGUAAAGUGGCAAAAUAAGACUUAAUAAAAGAUGGCAGGUAACCCAACUGUCACUCACCGAGCUGCCGAAACUAAAAGCAGAGCUGCGUUUGAGCUGAGCUGUGUGUGGGGUGGAUGUUAUUGCUUUUGUGUGGCUUGUUCGCUGCUUUGUCCACAGAGGGUACAAACAUUAAAACAAAACAAAAGGUGGCCUUGAACAAAACUCGAGACUGCUGUAACACCUAAAUCUGGAAAACCUCAUCUGCAUUUUGUCAAAGAAUCAAGGUGGUUUCUAACUUUUGUGCUGAUCUAUGCCAAAAAGUCUUCGCUGUAGCCUUCUAGACCUAUUUCAGGUCUAGGGGCAUACGUAUAAAGAGAGUGUGUGUGUCACCUGCCUGUAUUUGCAUAUCCAAAUGUCAAGUUCAGAUAUGCACUGGGAUGUCACGUCUCAUUAAUGCAGAAUACUUGUACAAUGUCUCAGAAACUUUGUAAACUCCUCGGUUUAAAGUUUCAGGGAAAAUAGAAACGACGUUUCACUUUUUCAAACCUUUAGCUUGUUAAAAAUCAGCCUGACAUGAAACUUUAUUUACAGAAUAGUAAGUGUAACAAAUAGGUGUAAAUUUUGAUGAACACGAAAACUCCUCUCUCACAUGAAGAAAAGGAGAUGUUAAUUAAGAGGAAAAUCAACGGGGGGAAUAACUGAUCAUGAAUAUUUCUACUCUUAUUAGUCCAUGAUAUUACACCUCACGACUUAUGAUUUUGUCAGAUGGUGAAUAUGAAAAAUGAAAAAUCUGAUGAACUUGGGGGUUAUCCUCUAUUUUAUUGCUUUUAUGAGAGUUAUGAUGGAUAUUUUAUGCUUCGUACUCAUGUACCGACCGGAAACCGGUCUAUGUUUAUGAUCUGUCUCAAGGCUCGCCUUAAAUGGGGUACACAGUACAAGAUCAUCUUGCUGAUUUUGCCCCUUUCCAACCAAAGUCAGUGAAGGCCUGAUUAUCAGAUGGUUUUAAAGGUUAUCUUUCCAGAUCACACUGCAGAAGGAUUUUGACAUUUUACAAGGGGAGUGCUAAAGCGUCAGCGGGCUCCCGUAAAAGUCGAAAAAUAACAUGAAGAAAGCAAGACAAGUGUGGUGUGGGACCAUUCCAAGCUGAAAAAUGAUAAAGUUUGCUGCAAACACUGCGAUGCUGUGUACAAGUCCAACACGACAACGACCCCAAUGAUGUACUACUUGAACCUUAUACAUCCAACUGAGGUUAAUGAAUCCUCCGAACCUUCUUAGUCUCAACCUGCCAUCAGAUCCUUGACAGUCCCCAUCUUGGAUGACUUGUCCCCGGCUAAAGUUGUCACCAGAAAUGUUUCUGAUUUUUUGUAUUUCAAUAAGGAAAAACACCUUUUUUUGCGUAUUUUCAAUUAAAUUGAUGAAUGAUCGUUAAUCCAUCCAUUUUCUACCACUUAUUCCUGUUCCAGGGGUCGCAGGGGGGGCUGGAGCCCAUCCCAGCAUCUUCAGGCGAAGGCAGGGGACACCCUGGACAAGUCGCAAGUUCAUCACAGGGCUGAUAUAUAGAGACGAACAAUCAUCCACGCUCACAUUCACACCUAUGGGCAAUUUGGAAGUGGCCAAUUAACCUAACCCCACUUAGGCAUGUUUUUGGGAUAUGGGAGGAAACCGGAGUAAACCCAUGCAGACACAGGGAGAACAUGCAAACUCUACACAGAAAGCCAGAUUUGAACCCGGGACCGUCUUGCUGUGAGGCGACAGUGCUAACCACUACACCACUGUGCCACCCAUGAUCAUUAAUAUAUAUAUAUAUGAUUAAUCUCAAGGCACUCUCUUAAAAUGCCUAUUCCUAAUUAAGAGUAAAUUUUCUUCGCUCCAAUCUACGCUGAAGACGAUCAAAACCACCAAACUUGGAAUAGUAAAUAUUAAACAAGUUCAGUAUCUGUCCAUUUUCCUGUCGAACAACUCAAUCAAUUCAAAAAGGAAGAAGGAAGUACAACAAAUGUAAGUACGGCAACGAUACAAACAGAGACUGAUGUCAGAAAUGUAGGAUCCAUUUGUUGAUCCACAGCAACAAGACCAGCGUUUUCACAGCAUGUUUGGGAAAAUGUUUGCGAAAAUGAUAAGGAGAGGCGUAGAAAAAAAAGAAAGCUAAGCAGUUAGCGACAAUAAGAUCACAUAGUCUGCCAUGUCUUGUUUACUCUAAAAUCACUCUAAAAUGCGUUUGGUUUGAGAGGUGGGACUCUGGUUGCUCUUUCAUUGUUAAACCUAAGGGAUGUGAAAUCUGAGCUGCUGCAUUGUCAGUGAUAUUUGAUAAGGAAGCAUGUCUGUUAGUAAAAAACAUGUCUAUGAAGGCUGGUUUAGAGUAUCCUCUUCUGUCACUCCUCCAGUUUCCCUCCUUUAUCCUCCCUCCUUUCUCUACACGUUCACCAAGGACAGACUGGCCUAGCUCAGGGCUUUAGGAUCCAGAGAUGGUCAAUAGAAGUAGAUGUGUAAGAAAUCCGAUAACCUCAUCGUAUAUAAUCAGCCCUUUAAAAACAGAGCUGGAGUUCAUGAAGUUUGUGCACCUCUCUUGGCCUUGAUGAGACAGGGCGCGUGUGAGGUGAACAAGUAUUUGUGUGCUUAUGACUCAGACUUGGACUCAAACUGUGACUGCAUUCAGACGGUGAAGAAAAUAGAGCGGUGAACUCAGACUUAGUAAUACAAACUUGUAGCUUUUCUGAAAAAAGACCCUCAUAAUUUAGGAGAUCCUGCCGGGAUCCUGAAAGAGGUGCCCCAAAUUGUGCAUUUUGCUUUCAGCAAUUUUUCAGCAUCUUUACACUAUUUUUUAAUCCAAUACUUAAACCAUCAAAUUCUGUUUUUAUCAACAUUUCUCACAAAGUCCCAACUCUUAUGAAACUAGAGUUGUACAUAACUGUGAUGGCCUUUUAGCCUUUGCACUUACUCUCAACUCCAGACCUCAAAACUGUGUCUAAUUUUAUGUUGAGUAACUCUCUGCAGUAGAGAUAGAAGAAGAGAGAAAGAGAGAGAGAGAGAGAGAGAGGGAACGACUGGGAGGGCAGAGAUGGAGAGAGCAGUCAGCAGAGAGACAGAUAGAAAGUGAGACAAAAGAGAGGGAGAGCAGCAGGCAGAAAGAGAUGGAUAAUGAGGACAGACAGAGCAGAAUAUUUCUCCUCUGGAAUAUUUCACACUUCACAUAAUAUUUCAUUCGUCCCGUCAGAGUCCUGGGUCUGAGAUCCUAGCCAGGGCAGACAGAUUGACAGACUAUUUUUCAUCAGCCAUGCUUUUCCACCCCGGCUCCCGCAACUGUAAACCUCUCUCUAAAUGACUGCCAUAAAUCCUCCACAAAUCCACAUGUAUUUCUGCCAUAUUCCUGGUGACAGCUGAUUAUUUCUGCUGCGGCUAAUGUGUGUGUUCACAACUAGAGUGUAUUAAUCUAAAUAACAUAAUCAAAUCGACAGAGCCAUCAGCGUUUAGUGGGAGUGGAAUGAUUCAUUGUUAUAAUGAAUGAGAGGUCAUUUAGGAAUCAGAAUAAGUUUCCUGACCUGGAAAAACUCAAUAAUUACUUUAUAGAGUCCCCAGUGAUUUAUAAAAUCAUAUUUUUAAAAGAUAUACGGCGUGUAAUUACUCGGGUCUGGCUAGAUUGACCAUUUAUGGCAGCUAGCAAAUGUUGCUACAUCAAUCAAGAAGCAGUUCACAGUGGCAGUGGCUGGUUUUAUAUUGAUACCUAUUUAAAACUUUGGGGAUUUUGUAAUGAGAUGACUGAAAACAAAAGCAGGAUGCUGAGUUUAACCUGCUGACCUACAAUCAACCUGCUGAACUGGGACUGUUGCUAGUUUACUUCAUCAGUUAGCUUGCCCGCUGUUUACCCCAACAUCGUCUCAAACUAACUUUUACUGCUUCUGUCGAAUACUUAACAUUUUCACACAAAAAUCUCCAGAUGAACCAAAAGUGCCUUUUAAACUCUUUCACAUUGCUAAAGCUAAAGUAGCCCCCAAUUACCACUGCAUCCGGAGCGGCAAUUUUCACUGUCCGCCAAUUCCUACAGGGUGCAUUUGUGUGGCGAAUUUUGUGAUGGAUUUUGGACGUCAAGAAUCGUGAAAACUCCAAAAAAUUAGAGGAUUCCGUCCUUUCAGCGGAGGAAAUCCACUUCUAGACUUCUUGAAUCAGCAUCUCCUCAUUCAUGGUGUAAGUCAGGUCCGCCGCGCCUGCGGCACGUCUCCAGCAAGGCACAAAAAUAGAGCCCAAUGACUCUAAUUAACUACAUGUAAGGUUAAAAGAGGUUUUAAGUCGCUUAAAUGAAUGUCAUGGAGAUGUUAAAUCACAGGUUAUUGCUUUUAGUAAUCAUGGUGUCAAUCAGGAUUAUGGUGAUUUUUGCCAUUAUCGAGCAGCCCUACAUUAUUGAGCUGUUUGAAGCAGACACUCAUCUUUUGACACCUUUAACAUUUGGACAUUUACACCUUCACUGUUUUGUUUCAUGGUUUUGGAAACACUAUGACAACAUCAUGCUGAACAUCUUAAAUAACCACCACAGUAGAUAUGUCACAUGUAAGUACUGCCACCUAAAGGAAUAGUGAAAAGAGAAGGGGAACAUGUGUCCCAGCCUCUGAAAUCCAUCCCUAAAAUUGGUUAUAGCAAAGUAAGAUGAUUAUAAUGAUGUGCUGCCUGUCUUAAAUGACCCUGUGACCUUUCUUCUACUCUCCAGGCCAUAAUAUCCCCAGAGUCUUCAUUAUACUGUGCUGGAAGAGCAGAAUUAAUAAUCUCGUUUUCUAAGCGCAUUGCUGCAUUUCAUCCUGCAGCUCCAAUCUCCUGCAGAGGGGAGUUGAGCACACUCAAAAACUCUCGGCUCUAUUUAAUCAUCAGUCUUUGCUAAACUAUUUGUGAUACCCUCGUAUAAUCAGUGUAAACACAUGACAUCAUGGUAGGGAUGAUUGGUCAUGUGAACCUUGCACCAGUGAUGCUGCCCCGGCUAAUGUUUCUCCAAAUUAAGACUCUUAUUUUCCUCAGACCGAUAAUCUUUAAACCCUUUCAGCAGGGCGUAACUCUUCUUCUCAAUGAAAAAGAUGAUCCCUCCUCUAACAGAUAUUUUCUCUGCUUUUUCACUGAAGAGGAUAAACAGCUAGAGAGUGAUUUUCCAUCUGUCUUUUACUCCUUCUACCAUCUGCCUUUGUGGGUAACUCUCAGGCAUUUAUUUUGUCUGUGCUGGAAGAACAUUAAUCUCUUCCUGGUUUGUGUCAAAACACAUCUCUCGUCAAAUUUGACCCAGCAUGUGAUGGAGGCUGCCAAUCGUCCUCUACAUGCUCUCGCUCAUUUAUGGUUAAUAUCCUCAAAACAGCCGGCCAGAUACAAACCGACUGCAGCUAAAUGUUGGUGCACUCGUCUCUCUUCUGGCUUCAGAGGACCAAAUGUUAGCCAGCCCUGGCUCCUGUUCCUGCCAGAUUUGGCUAAGAUGUUGGGGUGCAGAGUUUGGCGGGAAAACAGCUCCAGUUAGCAGCACUCAAGCUGGUGUCAACACCUGGAAGAGGACCAAUAAAACCUGGGACGAUUUGGGGAUGUAAUUCCUCCCCAGUCUGGCACAUAAGCAAAUUUUGGCCUCCUGAGCUUAAGGCAGAAAAAAGCUUAAUGUGUUAGAAUAGAUUCACGGAUAAUGUUCAAUGUUCUUCAGACCAAAAGAGAUAAAUUCUAAUUUUUCAUUUUGUGGCAGCAGCUUUUGUUUUUAUUAACAGUGAGGGAAAAAAUGGUUGAUUUUCCCUCUACAUUUAUGAACAACUUGUUUUCAAUCACUAAAUUAAAUUUGAGUUAAUGAACAGCCAGUUACUCACCGUUUUAAACAACAAAAGUCAUAACCUUGAACAUUAAACACAAAUUAGUUUUCCAUUAACGACUUCCUCGUAUCUGCCAUCCAAGCCCUUACACUCAACUCAGCAGAAGUCAGCAAGGUUAAUCUGCGUUAUUGAAAAGACACCGAGGCAAUCAUGCAUUCAACAACUUAUGUAUGGAUUUAAGUAUGAAACAUAAUCAGGUGUACAUUAUUUUCAAAAAGAACCACUUGAUUGACACCCUUGAGAUGUUUUCAUGGGGUCCCAUCAACUAUUUUGAUAUGAGACUAGUCUGUGACUAUUGAAACGAUUAUUUGACUAAUCAGAAAAUAUCUUGCCAAGGCUAGUCUAAAUGUUCAUCCAACAUUCCAACGUGCCUUCUCCUGAAAUGUUCGUGCAUCACCGAUGUACUGCCAUGAUGCGCAAGGUCUGCUUUGCAAACCAUGCAUGUUUUUUCUUCUGCCUUAUCUAGGCAACAGUGCUCCCAAACUUUUUUAAGCGCGUGCUCGUAGCUGCUGUCUAGGACGCCAGCACCGCCACGUUUGAAUACCGUACCGCUCAUUGGUAGGGUAUUCAAACAUGGCAUUCAAACAUCCAUUCAGCUCUAGGCAGAGAUCGUAAUGAAGUAAGAUGCCUCACUCCACUGGAAAAAAUACGUCUGGUGACAAUAGACAAUGGAAUUCAUUGUCGACGUUUUUCAACUAAUAUCGACUAAUCGUUGCAGCCCUAGUCCCAACAGAAACCUCUCUCCCAACAUGACAACAAAAGUUUGGCUAUGUCAAGAAAACCAAAAGAAGAUUUAUUCAAAUCUUUGAACAAUAGACUGACAACAUAAAACCUCAUUCAUAGAAAAGACAACAGGACCAAAAGACGGCUAAAGUUUCAGGAAAUGUUGAAUAAAAGGGGUGUGGCUGGUGUAUGAGUAAUGGCAAUCUCAAAGUAAGAAUACAGAGCAUUUUAAAACACACUGAAUAAUGACAUGGAUCCAAAGUGAACUCGUACAUUUUCAAAACAACAGGAGCGUUAAACCUAAAAGAUUAUUUUGCCUCUGCAGUCAGCAACCAUCUAUAAAAUGUUGCUCUGCAGUAGGGCUGUAAAGUCCUUGUUGAAUGGUCAACUUAAUUGGUCAAUACGUGCUGAGUUGACCAAAAUUCUGAUUGGUCGAAUCGAUUUCUUUCUGCGUCAAUUUACAGUCUAUGGUUAAUUUCAUUGGGAGGAACACGCCAAGUGCUAAUGGGGGUGUUUUCAGAGCACCUACAUUUCACAGGUAACAGCUUGUCUCAGAACACCCCCUUGUUUUCACCAUUUUAGACUCGCCCAACCCACUGGAGUCUGGCUGGAGACAGGAAGAUCGAAGAGCGUCCACGUCAAUCAAUGUCCGGUGGUUUGCUGAAUAUUUAUACUUAUUUUGCGCAUUUUAACCUGCCUUUGUGUUUAAUUGCCUUCUUGUGCUGAUAUCAAGAUAUUAUCGCCCCGCCAAGCCGCAUUUCGCCAAGCCGCAUUCCGCCUAGCCACGUUCCCCCAAUUGGUCGAUUUUUGGUCAAAAACUUUAGGGUUUUAGUCAACCAAGAAUCUCUUUGGUUGAUUACAGCCCUACUCUGUAGAAAACAGGAUGUAAAUGAAGCUCAACAUCUUGUUUGCAGACAUUUAACUUCUUUACAGCUCCUCCUUUUCCUCAAGGUGACAGAAAUGUCAGACAUCAUCUGAACUGAACAGCCAACUCUGCAGUCCGUCCUUGCGCUCACGAUUUUGUCAGGAGGGACUGACUCGGCAGAUAAACCCGCCAGACUUCGUGACAUGGAUAUUUAACCCAGGAGCCACCUUCUCAGUGGCAUCCAUGUUUCUGUCUCUCUCUGUUAAAGAUAACCAUGACUCUGCGGCAGCUAAUUUCACUGUCACAUUACAUGACAGUGUCAGUGUAGCAAAGCGCUGUAGAACAAAACUGAACAACAGGGGAACCUCUCUCCAACAAUCUGAGUGUCUCCAGCCAGACCCUUUGGCUGAGCUGGUUAGUAUGGUGAUUCUUAGCUGGAGGUUAAAUGAGGAGAAGACUUUCCUUGUGGGAUGGGACCAGGCGUGUGCUCUGGCUUCUUACCACGUGAAAUAUUAACAAGGCCGGGACUGAGGAGGAACAGCAGCUGCACGGCCGUGGCCUCUGCACAACGUGAAGACACAAAGACAGAAUAAAAAGAGACUUUGAGGAUAAAGAAAAAAAAGGAGAGAAGCUGCAGAGCAAACGGUGCUUUGUACAACUUCAUGGCUGCAAGAAAAAAUGGUUGAAAUUCAGAGAAAGAAAAUCUGUGAACUGUUUCUUGGUGACUCAUGACUGAACCCAGUCAUCCGACACCUUUGAUGAAGUGUUAAACAGGUAAUUAAUCAGUAAUUUUAAACUGAUUUUAAUUUAAAGUAACCUUCUGAGCUGUUUGCUGCAUGUGAGUCAGACUAAGCUCAGUGCGAUGUGAUGCAACAAUCCUGCAACGGAGACUCACAGAGGGUAGCGCGCAGAGUACGUCGCUUAAGUAUGCAUCUCUUGUAUUUUUAAUAAUCCUCCGAAAUUAACUGUGAGCUGUGUAAGUCCUACGUCUGGGCCUAAGUAAACCAGAAGCGGGCGUAGACUCAGCUCUGGUGUUGCAGAGUUUUCUGCCUCUUUGAGGAGUAACAGUAAUUCUCAUAUCAGCAAAUUGUGUGCUGUUUUUACCACUUCAAGCAGAGAGCUGAAUCCAGAUUUGUAGUACAACAAGUACACUUGACAUUUGUUUACUAGAGAACGCCAAACAGAGAGGAAAAAAAACAGAGAUAAGGUAGCAGAGGAGAGAAGAGGAUAUGAAAUGUAACAAAGGAUGGAAAUUGGAUUUCAAUCUGCCAUAUUUCAAGUUCAGCCUUGUGGUAUAUGCCAGCUCCUUUUUUCUUUUUCCUACUUUGUUUUUAAUCUUGACUUUUCACGAGCAGAGCUGGAACAAAGCAUCUCGCCGCUUAAAUGUCUAAUUUACCCUCAGACAUGUACAGGGAGCCGACUCAAGAGCAGGAGUGCGCUUCGUAAACGAGGAGGCAGGGGCCAAAUGAGGCUGGCUGAUUGCUAUUCUGAACCGAGGCGUUGUGCAGAAAGGAAGACGAGACUGGGAAGGGAAAGCCGCACACUGACAAAAGAGGUAGACGUGAAGUGUCUGUGUGUGUCUGUGUGUGUGUUAGCAGGUAAAAAGGUGUAAAAAGGAGAUGUAGGCCACAAUUACUGCAGAGAUUCAUUCUCAUGCUCAUAUGUAGUAUUUCACUCUCUCUCCCGUCACGCACAAAGAUACUGUCAGCGAGCUGUCCCGUCUUUUCAAAGAUGAUUUUAAAAGAGAUUAAAAGAGAGAACCAGAUUUCUCCACACUCCCCUGUUGCUAUGGUGACGCCAAAUUGAGUCACUCCUUCAUUCUCUCCCUUUCUUAUGGUCAAAUCAUCAAAUCAACAUGUAGGUGCAGUCCUGAACAAGGAGGAAGACUAACUGCAGGGCGUAGGGUGUGUGUGUGUGUGUGUGAGUGUGUAUGUGUGUGUGCACGUGUGUGUGAGAUAGAGACACUCUUGUUAUCCUUUCUCACUAUGCCGCCUGGCGCUCCUUGUUGUAGUGACAAUGAGGGGGGUGUGGAUGAAUCAGACUGGUGUGAUCUCAUGUGAGGGGCUUCCUCACACCACUGCUGCCAGGAUCUGACAACCGUGUAUCUGCAGAAUUCCUGUUUUUCUGGGUGACAAUGCCAACAGAUUUCUGAAACGUGAAGUUAACAAUCAUGUCGUGUAUCUUUUUUUCCCUGACCAUUACUUCUCAAGUUUGUUUGCCCUGAAGGAGUGCACUGCCAUUUUUGAGGGAUUUGAGUCAAUCAAGGGAACACAUAUAAGUAAGAUAAGGAUAUGUCAAGGUCACCGUCAGCAAGCAUGUUUCAUCCAGCCCCCCUGCUGGAUGGAAUUCCCCAGGGUUUGGUUCUUGGACCAGCCCUUUUCUUCCUGGACAUGCAUCCUCUCGGUCAUCUGUUCAGUCGAUUCCUGGAUAUGACACACACUUUCAUUUUUCUGCAAAUCCCAAUAAUCUCGAUCUUUUUAUAGCUGUCUUUCUGUUGUGCAUAAGUGAUUAUCAGACACUUUCACUACUUCUGUUCAACAGCUUAUAGGUAGAUAGGCAGUGAUCCUGUCUAAUAAUUUACUGUAUGUUUUAUUUGUUGCCAUACCAUGAUAUAUACCACUAAAGGCAGAAAGACAUUGAUUUACUUCUUUAGUAUUUAUAUCCAUCUAUAGAGCCGGCACAGUCAGUGGAGCUCUCCUUGUUCUUCCUGUAAAUCAGUGCGGCUCAUUCACACCUACAUGUUGCUCUGUUUAAUUCUCAGAUCCCCUCCUUCUGCCAGUAUGGGAGUCAUCUCUUUACUGUCUUUCCUCUCAUUUUUGUAAGUAAAGGAAAAUUUAUUUUCUGUUGCUUUUGCUGAGCAAACUUGACAGUAUUCAGGCCCUAGUGUUUUCUCUGUGUCGCCAUGUUGAUUUUGGAGAUAAAAGAAUGAAAAAAAUCAAGUUGUCGCAGCAUUGUAAGCAGUGGACGAGGAACAGUGUGUGGCGUUUACAAAACCUUGUUGAAACUUAAUAUGAAAUUCCAAGGAUAACUUAAGUUCCACUACUUUAACGAAGAAUUACAAAAACAAUUAACUGAGCUUGUUUUAGGUAUAUAUGUGGUCAACAACUGUAUGAAACCACAGCCUUCACCCGUCCGACAUUGGCAGACUGGCGGUGAAAUUUCUCAGCCCUGGUCACUUCAACAGGAAACAUGUAUUCCAGUGUGAUUACUGAUGCAAGUUCCUUGUAUGUAUUUAAUGAGUAUUUUGAUGGCUAUUAACACAAUUUGUCUCUAUUUUCAGGAUGUUACUGCUGACAAUUUUUUCCUGAGUUACCACCGACUCCCACCUCUUAAGGUGAAGGUGGUCGCCCUGGAAAGGAAAUAAAAGUGACUGAAUGGGAAUUUGUGGAGGAGGGGGCACACGCUCUGAGAGCGCACAAUAAUUGCAAUGCUGCCAUUUCCGAUGUUAAAAUGUAUUCUUUUCAAGAACCUGACAGACAAGAUAGCAGAGGAUGGUAGCUAUAUAAUCAAAAAUUAUGGGAUUUUGAAGUUUGGUAGCAGGCGUUCCAUGCUGUCCCGCCAUGACACCAUGGUAUACCACACCUCCCCUGUGGAUGUCCCAGCUAGUCUAGAAGAGGAGGGUAAACACCUGGUGUGCCUGCCAACCCAAAACCCAGGCUUCAGGACAUCAUGAUGUGCAUGUUCAGCUGACUACACAUCCUGUUGUAGGUUUCUCUCAGUGGAGAUAAAAUCAUAGAGCUCCAGUAUAUAAAUGUAUGAUGCACAUCACCACUGAAUAUCACUGUUAAUUUACUGUUUUGAUCAGCUCCCACCUAACCAUAAUGCUGCGUCACUUUUUUACAAAUCAUCAUUUACUUUUUCAAUAAACCAAAGUUAUUGCUGGUAAUUUUCAGCAUAAGCCUGUAUGGAGAAAAACAAGCAUGAGAGUCAGCACUUACAGUAAACACCCUAUUUGGAGAAAAGCUUGUUAUUGAUUGGCCAAAUGGAGUGAAACAGUCAUUUCAUUUUAUUUUGUUCAGUGGAAGAACACAAAAGUGGUUACAAAUUCAGAGAGCUCUCUCCUUUUAUUUUGUAUCCAUCCCAGAGCAAAAAUGGAAAUGGAAGAAGAAACCCGUAUAAAUCUGCCAUCUGUCUCAACGUUGAAAUACACAGAUCAUUGAAUUCAAGAGAUCCUAUGUGUAAUAUAAUAAAUACAAAAGCACAUACAUUCACAUACACUUAGAAAUAAGUAUAAAACACACAUAUAAGCGUCUGUCUUUAAAAUAAUUACCUCACAAUUAAGGACAAACUUAAAGUGUGAAGCAGAAGCCAACAACAGCUGACCAGCACACUGACUCCAGAGCGGGCAGCUUUAUUUUCUGAUUACUGACUGACAAGUCAAAGUUCAGUUUGGUAUUAUUGAGUGAUUUUUUUAACAUUUAUAUGAAAUGUUUAGUUAUUUUUUCAAAAUUAAAUCCCAAGCAAACAUAAAAACAGCUGAUCUGAGCCCCCUGAAGUAUAAUUUUCAUUUUGUUCACACCAGGAUAGCACUUUUAGCUCAAAAAAUAUAUAUAUAGAUAGAUAGAAAGAAUAAAUAGAUAGAUUUAAACACAGUGUUGUCUAAUUUCAUGUAACAGUUACAGCAGAUUAAAAUAAAUCUUGAAAUAAGCACUACUAUGUUACAGCAAGAGAGAACUGGUAACAAUAAUUAAAGGUGAAUUUAAUGUCGAAGUUUUGAGAUGUUUAGUCUGUACUGUGCCACUAGAUCAUUUAUAGAGAAAGUCUGAGCAGUUAAGCUUUCCACUUUGACAAUUAACAACAAAUAAGGGUGACCGUAUGUCCUCUUUUACCCGGAUCUGUCCUCUUUUUGGGGGAUUGUCCGGCCUCGUCCAGUACGUACAAGUUACAAGCGUGUAAAAAACACUCGACCUGACCCGAAAAACUCUCAGAAUUGACUCCGCCCCCCUGUAGUCGCCUCCUCUUUUUGAGGAUUCAGAAUAUGGUCACCCUAAAUAAAUAUUUGACUGUCAAAAGAUGGCAGGAGGGAAAUUUUUUCCAUUAGAAGUGCAAGAUAAGCAAAGAUAUGCUUUGUCCACAGGGGGCGCCAAAAUAGACUCAAACCAAAAGUUCCUCAUAGGAGCUUUAAGUUCAACUCUUAGUGUAUUUUAUUAACUGAAUAAGCUCACCAGCCACAAGCUCCCUGACUUUUCCUCUUCUCUUCUUGAACUGUGAAACUGAACUGUUUGUGCUUUAAAGCAGUGUUUGUUUUGUUCAUACCUUAAAAACUUUCCAGCUGAAAACUCUUGACCGUAAAAAAUAAGAUUAGACUGAACUACUUCCUGCAAACACCGAGGGCGUCCUCUGAAAGCAACACAAGCUCUGAUCCCUCCAGAAGAAUUUGUGGCUAAAUUUAAACUUCAGACGCUGCGGGGCAGGAAAGAACAAUGGGACGCAGGAAACUGAGGGGGUAGAGGAAGGUAAAGGGGGAUGAGGUGGGAAGAAGGAAGAAAAGGAGAAAGAAAAGUGUGAAAAUGGAGAUAGAGCAGUGGGAUAUUUUGACCUAUGACCCUAAGUUGAACAGAAUUUGGGUGACUGCAAACACAAAAUGUAUGUGGAUAUUUUUCAACAUCAUUCCUUUAUGCUGUAAAAUGUUAAAUGUUCAUUAAAUUCUUCCUUACAGGAACACAGAAUCAAAAGUAUCUUUCAUCAUGCUGCUGCCAUUUUUGACCCCGGUUGUUUAUCCCACCUCUGAAUCCUCCUCAGGGAUGACUCAUGGGUGAUAUUAAGUUCACAUAAAGUUGAAAGAGCCAAACAUCAAAGUUGCGUUUGACCCAAAUUUUCCCAAAUUACACCUCUCCCACUGAAAAGCGUAUUAAUUUCAUCUGGCUCUGGUAACUCUCUGAAAUCUCGUCAGAAUGCAAGACAAUACUCCCUGAAUUCAUUUACAGUCCAACGCAGAGCAAAUUUCCCAGAAGUUCUUUCCAAAUCAUUUCUGCAGUCAUGAAAGUUAAUUCUUGAAACCAAGGCCGAGCUCGCCUCUGUGUGUGAAAAGGCACAAAGCUCCCUGCAGACCUCCCUAAAACGGUUCAGUGUUUUUUCAGAGGAAUGGUUUGUGUCCCAUUAUUGUCCAAAACCUACUUCUGUGGCUUUCCCUACUUUGACAAGAAUAUGCUGCGCUUCAGGAGAAAACACUGCUGAGCUAACUGAGCAUGAAAAACUCAAGUGUUUCCAAGAACUUCCACCAUCCAUACCCUGCCCAACUCUCUGUGACUCUGCAGUCAGUCAGUGCGCUGAGGCCCUUAGCAUGAGACGGUGACAUGACGAGGUCAGAUGCGAUUGAAGUCGCACGUCCUUGAAGCCGUUCAGAAAAGCAGGAAUGCCAUAAACCUCUGUUUGUUUUCUUUUUCUACCCCCUGCUGCUGGGGUCAAGAGCCACUCUGACCACAAAUUUACGGCUCUGUUGUUGUUGAUGUUUCUGGAAUUUCCCUCGUUUUUUUUUUUUCCACAGAGGUUCAGACUGCAGCACAUCAUGAACAAAUAUUUCUGUUUCAAACCAGCUCCGUGUGACACAAAAUCAAAAUCAGAUGUUUCAGUAACAGUUUAAUUCAAGAACUUCCAUCAUACAUACCAUAAUUUGAGGGAAAUUAAAAAGUCACCAGGAUUACAAGAUAAACAGUCUUUAUCAAAUAGACUUGUGAAAGUAUUUGAACCUUUGUUUAAUCAGGAAAUUUCAGGGAGUUUUAAAAUCUCUCUUGAAAGCAAGAUUUGGCAAAGAAAGCAGCCGUACAGAAUCCCAGACACAUAACAAUCUGUCACAAAUAACACAGUCAGCAGCUCUGGAGAGUCAAAGACAUAUUGGGCUUUCAAGAAAAAUAACAACCACAUGGUCCUGUCAUCUAGGGCUGAAACCAUUACUUGAGUACCUCGAUUACAAAAAAUGAUCGAGGAAUUUUUCUCUGCCUCGAGUACUCAUUUAUAGGCUCAAAUCGUCACUGUUUCGCACAGAUUAUUUUCAAGAUGACAACAUGCACUUUACGUCACCACAGUCGAAGGAGGAGUAAGCACAGUUUUUUGGUUUUUUUUGCGGAGCAGAAAAAAUGAAUGACGAGAGGGGCUUUUCUUCUGCAGAGCUCCUGUAGCUCAUUAGCACUAUACCUUUGAGUUAUGGGCGGAGACAGCGCUGCUCUGCACACUCCUCUUCACGCUAGCUUGCAGCCUAACAUUGCCGGUGUCGUAGCAGAAGCAGGUAACAAAGGAGCGAGUCAGCUCUCGGACACUACUGUCUUUAGGGACAUGAUGAAAGUUAAUAUCAUAAUUAGCUUUCUAACGCACACGCCUGUUCCGUGUUCAUUGUUUCUAGAAAAGGAAAACAAUUGAUUGUACAUUAUUAAGUUAAAUGUCUGAUUUACUCUUGUAUAUUAGUAAUUGCACUAUAACUAAAAGAAAAAAAUGUUUUAUCCAAUUAUUCGAUGGAAUAUUCAGUAGAAUACUCAAUAACUAAAAUAUUCGAUAGCUGCAGCCCUACCGUCAUCACAUUUGCUAUAAUACACAUAGAUUUGUUAGGAAAUAUGAGUGUGUCCAAUUUUAGCUCUUAGGGAGGCUUAAUCAUGACCAAGGAGGGUCCUCAGAAAGGACAGUAAUCCUCAGCUCAGUUAGAACCACAGACUGAAUAAUAAAUGAGCGUUGCAUUGAUGACGGCACACAUUUGUUUUGUGAAAUAGAUUUUUUGAAGGCUUUUAUGUUUGCUCUCAGAAUUCUUGUCUUUUGGCUGAGUGUGUAUGUGGUUUCUUGUGCUUCUGCAGCGGGCCUCAAGUGGACACUCAGGGAACUGCAUGGGCUUCAUUUCAUAAGACUGGAGAUUGCAUUAAAAAAUGUCCCUGCACCUUUCUCCUAAUGAGGAUUGUUCAGACGGUUGCAGAUUGGUUCGUCUUAUUGGUCACUAAAUGCUUAUAACAGCAAACCCAUAAAAAUGAACCGUCAGCCAAAAGUGCAGACUAGAUUCUUGCUAACAGACUCAAGCAAUCAGACUCAUCUGCAUCUCUCAACACAUGCAGUUGUCUUUCAGGAGACCAGUGAACAAGUCUUACCCACUCCAGCUUCUGGUUCCCACAGAGACCAUUCUGCUUUGCAGCCCAAGUCCCACCACGUCGAGUCUGUUCCUGAUCCUGUCUCUGUAGAGUCCAGAUGGUAGCUCCACAAGGUAGUGAUCCUGCUUGUUUUCCACCUGUGAACACCAUGCCAGACUUGGCCAUCAGUGCUCCUAUGGUGAGUAGGGUUGUCUCUUUAAUGGAUCAAAGCUGUUUUCAUUAAACCCAUUGCCUCGUCUGUUGUCAUCUUUUAUUUCCUCCUCAUGUCAACAUCAGUGAAAGAGACGGGAACAAUCGUUGAAAGAACAGAGCAGAAAGAGGAUAUUUUGAAUAUUCACAGAAUAAAAUAUAAAAGUAAUGUGACAAGAAAAGGAAAAUUGCACAUUAAGAAAAUAUAGAUGUUACAUUUGGCUAAUUUUCACAUUUUGAGUAAAAAAUGUUUUCCUUCUUAGUCUAACAAGCGGAGAUGCUGAAGCGGAUCUCUAGAGGUGCACACAGCCCACCAUGACCUCCAAGUGACAUAAAAUCUUUGAGCUGCUCAUGUUUACCCAAGUCCCAGGAGUAUCGUAAAGUAGAGCUGCACAACUUUCCAGAGCUCAGAGACUCUGAAUUUAUUUCUUCUCCAAUUCCUUCCUCUGUGGAUGGAGGAAUAACUCUGGUUGGCGUCAUAGGAGUCAAAUUAAAAGUCUAAUGUAGAUGAACUUUGCUCACAAAACCUGAGUACAACUCACCACAGUACAUACGGAAACUGCUGAGAAAAACAAGUGUGAGGGGAGAGGAGAGCAACCUUUAAGAAAAAGAAAAAAAAGUGAUUUAAUGCGAUGAAUAAACUUCUCCAUUGUGCAAUGAAAUACCCAAGUAGUCGAAUGAUUAUUUGAAUAAUCAAUGAUUGGUUCAUGAUCAAAGUAGUCAUUAGCUGAAGCCUUUUCCUCAUGUGUGCAUUAGGGUAUUUGCAGAUCAUACUAGACAUGAGUAAAUCAUGCAAAGCACACACAGGAGUAGGUAUGAGAGCUGCCAGGGAGAACGCAGGUGAAUCACAGCGCGGCGCUGAUCCGCAUUCGUUUCUGACAAGCUGAUCAGGAGGAAGUUAUAAAAAUGUGACAACACAAUGACCAUUAUCUUAUAUGAAAAAAGAUUAGGGCCACAAGAAGAGACAAUAUUUACAGGAGGGAGAUGUUUUUAAUAUCCAUUUUGAGAUAUAGGUCAAAAUUUGAAGAUUAAAGUUGAAAAUUCAAAAAGUCAAAAUUUUGACUUUACUCUCAAAAUUUAGACUUUUUGAUCUUGAAAUUCCGACAUUAUUCACGACAAUUUUGAAAUUUUGACAAAAUUUUGACUUAAUCCAUGUCGACUUUAAUCUCAAAAUUUUGACUUUAAUCUUGACAUUUCAAUUUUUAAUUUUGAAAUUUCGAGUAUUGACAUAAUUUCAAUUUUUUAAAUCUGGAAAUUUCAACUUUAAUCUUGAAUAUUCAACUUUAAUCUCAAAAUUUCGACAUUAUUCACAACAUUUUGAUACUUUUAACCUUGAAAUUUUGACUUUAAUCUCGAAAUUUCAACCUUAUUGACAUAAUUUCGAUUUUUUUAUGUCCAAAUUUUAACUUUAAUCUCAAAAUUUUGACUUUAAUCUCCUUCCUGUGAUUUUUUUUGUCUUCAUGUGGCCCUCAUCCUCUUUCAUACAUAACAAACUACUUUUUAACAUACAGUAGAAAAAUCAAUGAGUCGUAUUGAUAACAGCCACCUUGAGCUGAUAAUUGUCAGUAUCAGCAAAAAAGUAUAUAUAUUUAAAACUGUCAAGGGUGAAGAUCAUGUUGUUUUUAUUCUUUUUUGUUGCUAACUGAGCGUCCAGUUAUCACACAUUCAUAAACUCUCAUUUUCAAAGGUUCUUUUGAUAAUAGGGUCACUUUUAUUCUUCGCUGAAGGUUAUAAGUAACAUAUUUGUGAGUCAAAGGAGCCUCAGAGGCCUCGGUUCAUUCAGAUGGACAAAGGAGGUAAAUGGAGCUCAUUUCUUAUGCAUGGGGACUUUCGUGUCGCCCCGGCCCUUUGCUUAAAGGGUUAAUGGCUUUCAGUAGUCUCGGAGCAAAGCCUGGUCAGGCGUGUUAGUGGGGUGCACAAAACCAGGCGAGGUGGCAUGACUUCAUUACGGGCAGAAAUAAAUGAGUGACAGAAGGAGGUUAAGAGAGUGAAAAGAUGGAGGGAGAAAGAGAAAAUGAAGAGAUAUGAAGGUGGCUGUGUGUGUCACAUACAGUGAGUCAUCAUCAGACAUCCUCACCAACACAAAUCUGUCUCUCCUCUCCUCCCCCAACAACCCCGGUGAUAAAUAAUUGACUCUAUCCUUUCCAGCCUGGUCCUCUGGUCUGGGGCGUUUUGCUCUCCGGACUCUCUUCACAAAGAUGAGGCGAUGAUGGUUCUUUCUCUUUUUCUCCUUGGCUCUGUUUCUUUCUCUUCGCUCGCCUGUAUCUCCCCCUCACAGAACUCUCUGCAGGAAACGAUGAAUAGUGAGCGUUUUUUUCCCUUUUUUUUUUUUUAAAGUUAUCUAUUAUUGAGCAGCAGAUAGCAGCAGCAGCAGCUAUCUCUAUCUACUCGGCUGCUAAAAUAAAUAUGACACAGCGCUGGAGAGAUUUGCACAGAUCUGAACUGAGACCUCUUGUGCUCCGAGCAUGCAGAGCUACACGUUUAGCUGCAAAGCAAAAGCCAAAUCCAGGGAAGCCAGUUGCUCAAAGCAACUUGUAAAUACGGUGUUGCUCUCUUUGUUGCUUUGCAGUAACACAACAACGGAGGAAAAUAAGCACUCAUUAUGGCGUCUCAGUUUUGGAGAAAACACCAUUAUUAAAAGAUUAAAUGGGACAGAAGAUAUUGUCUGUUAUGGUUAAAGUUUUAAAUCUGGUUGGAUGAUUUUCAUUCGCCUCAUUCAGAUUUAAAACUCUUGGAAACACAAAUCCACAACUGCCUCGCAGCCCUUUAAUACGCAGUCUUCUGAGGUGUUGGUUUGGCCCAGUGGUUCAGUUGUGCACCUCACCUUGAAGCAUGUUUUCUACUCUAUCUAGUGUCCCAAAUAAAACAAAAAAAGACUCUUCAAAACCCUCAAACUGCACUCUUGCAAAAGCCAUUUGAAAAUGAUUAGAAUUUAAUAUAAAUUUGUUAAAAAUAAAGUCACUGAACUUGCUUUAAAGAUCACCAAUUAUCCUCAUUCACCUUUUAUUUAUCAGUCAGGGGCCUGUGCAUGUUUGUCUCAUACUGGUGUCCAUGCAAAUCCUCAUUACAGCGGUUUCCAGCUGUUGCCUAAAACACUUUGUUUUGGCUGCUUAUCCACUGAUAUAAAGUUAGAUGUGUUUUGUAGGUGUUAUUUUUUACACAGUUUUGUUAUCAUGAAACAAACCUGAAAGUUACGCCAUAACAUGAGCCUUUAUUGCCAACUUAGCUCUCUAUUCAGCCACCUAAACACACUUUGAUGAGGUUGUUUUGCUCCUCUGUUUUCUCUGUUUUCUAGUAGCUUCAUCUUUACUUCCUUUCUGAAUCAGUAGAGUGGAAGGGGGUUAAAAACAGACUUUCCAGCAUUCACGGUGUGCUUGUCUUUUUGCAUUUUUCAAGUAGUAUAGCUGACGUCAGGUUGAGGCCACUUUUCAAAACAAGAAGACAGAAAACAUAACCACAGACUACACCGCCAUGUUAUGAAACUCUGCUGUGGUUUGACAUGGAUUUUCACUCUUGUAAUGUACUGAAAUACAGAUAAACAUAAUGGAUCUCCUUUAAAGUUUAAUAUAUUGGGAUUUGGGUGUGUUCACGCUCUGACGAGGACUGCAUAAUGAAUCACAAUUCUGCUGUUACUGCAAGAAAGACAACCUAGAUGUCCAAAUUCAAAGCUUUAAAUAAAACAAGAGUGUUAAAGGUGAACUAAUGAAGCUUAUCUCACAGUAUUGUCACAUGUUACCUGUUGGGUGGAGGUCUACAUGUACUGGUUGUGCCUUCAAACUGUUGGUGAAGCAGAACUAUUUACAACCAAACUGAUUAGUCCCAGGUAAUCUGUUGGUGCAGAUGAAUGCUUAUUUGUUUUAGAAGGGAUGUCUCUAAAUUAAGAUAAUUGCACUUUAAUUGUUAUGGCAAUAGUGCACAUUGUUCUUGCACUAAAGCAUCUUGUUUAGGGCUGCACUGCACUGAUUGGUACAUGUGCUCUUUGACCGCAGAGUCAGGCAGAUAUUGAUCAAAAUGUGAUCUGCUGUGAAGUCUUGAGAAAAGGUUUAAUGAGUUGUUUUCGGUGAAGGCUCUGACACUUUUUGCUCAUAUUACACGUUUAUUUUGAUAUUUCAGGCAGACUCUCCGGAGGCUGUGAGAGUCUUUUCGAAUUUCUCUUGAUCUGGACCCCACACAUCUUCUCCCUCCACUGGCUGUGUUGGACCUCAUUUCCAGCUUGUCCG